CUAGCUAGAGACAAGGCAGGUGAUUAGGAUCAGGAUUAGAUAGACUUCACUUAUCACGGUGCAAAGGAACAAUCACGUGAGCGUUCUCCCAAACCCUGCACGCCCUUAAUUUUGCCAGGUGUAUACGGGUCCGCAUGCUCACGCUCGAUCAGUACAAGUUAGAGCUAGCUACUCCUAAUCAGGAAGCACUGAUUAAUUGUGACAGGC
RNAcentral lists this long non-coding RNA (207 nucleotides) under Hordeum vulgare. Its description in RNAcentral is "long non-coding RNA (HVUL_LNC008597)". Lineage: Eukaryota; Viridiplantae; Streptophyta; Magnoliopsida; Poales; Poaceae. The record is from RNAcentral.